ACAGCCUCUGAGGGGGCGCUGGAGGAUGGCCGCCCUGUUUCCGGAAGCUGGCACGCACAUCUGUGGGGCAGGAAGAGCCUUGCGGUCGUUUGUUCAGCUCUGACACUCCCUGACCUCUGGACCUCUCAUGCUAUCUGUGACAUGAGAGCAGCACACGCCAGGACCCGACACGGAGGCGGCGGGUCUAGGACAACACUCCGGAGCCCCGGAGUCCUGGGGUGGGCAGCCCUGGCUCUGGCCAUCCAGUGCUCCCGGCCUUGCUCUCUGUGCUUCCCCUCAGCACCCCCUCGGAAAUCUUCCCCCUGGAGCCCCUUCUUCCAGCUUCACCCUGUACCCAGGAAGGCUCUGCUGGGCUGCCUGGGACCCCGCAGCACUGGACAGAGGAUCUGGUCAAGCCAGGCGCUCAGAUACCACGUCCACAGUCCUUUACAGACAGAGAUUGGCCCAAAAAAGGACCACAUCCUUUAGAGGUUGGGCAAGAAGCCAACGGAUAGAGAUACGAACAGAUUCACAGAAGAGGAACCAUGAGAUGGAGACGGUUCACUGGAGACCUAAAAAGAUGCUCAGCAUCUUCAUAAAAUGAGAACUUGGCAUUAAAAGUACGCUAUGGCACGAUUUGUCCCGGUCAGAUGAGCUGAAUCCCAGCGCCUGACAGCCAUCUAUGGGGGAAACAUCCUCGGAUAUCAUCUGUUGGUAUUUAACAUGAUCCAAACCCCAGCAGAGGGGACCUGGAAAUCCCACAAAAUUAGAGAUGCCUUGCCCUUUGGCCCAGUAAUCCCACUUCCAGGAAUCUUGCCAGAGACAGAACAGCAAAGUGAGGAAGAGGACACUGGAGAGGCUUUUCCCUGCCGGGCGGUAGAGUAGCGCAGCCUGGAAACCACUCAGACGUCUGUCCAGGGCCCUGCGUGUGUGAGAUGCUUGUCCACUCCACGGGGCACGGGGGUUGUAAAAAGGAAGGAGAAGUAUUCUAUAUACUACUAAUAGUUUUCUCCAGGAUAGAUCGCUAGGGGGAAAAGCAUUAAUGUGUAAUUAUUUAUAGCACGCCAGCAACUUCUAUCUUUACAAACGGAGGGAUAAGCCAUUAAAUUUGUUUUAAAUUAAAUUAUUACCUACAGGGAGCAGGCGGGAAGGAGGUGAAGGGAGGCUGGAAUAGAAACUAUUAUAUCUUGAUUUGUAGAUUCGGCUUUAGAGCCAUGUAAAUAUUUAUGUAAUUACUAAGUUAAAUUAAAUUACAUUUUUAAAGGAAAAUUUUUAAACUUAAAAGCAAGAUAAAACCAAUUAACUUGCAUUAGCACCUGACAGCAUAAUCCUAGCAAAGUCUUCCAAGUGAUUUUUAAAAUCAGUAUUUGACUACGUAUCUACAUAGCCUGAGUGUGAAAUGAAUGUCAAAAAUGUUUCAUUUCUGUAAUCAUUUUCCAAAUAAUGUUAAAACAGAGUUUCAUCUGUACAUCUGCAUAACCCAAGGAUU
This 1468-nucleotide long non-coding RNA is filed under the name Ursus maritimus (polar bear). RNAcentral describes it as "lncRNA (ENSUMAG00000010849.1)". Lineage: Eukaryota; Metazoa; Chordata; Mammalia; Carnivora; Ursidae. The record is from RNAcentral.